Molecule: ribosomal RNA, 738 nt
Filed under: Placolecis kunmingensis
Lineage: Eukaryota; Fungi; Ascomycota; Lecanoromycetes; Lecanorales; Catillariaceae
Description: SSU rRNA
Rfam family: Bacterial small subunit ribosomal RNA
Source: RNAcentral
AUUGCCUAACGGCUGAACCAGCAACUUGGAGGAAGUAUAGCAAUAGCAAUAGCUAAUGCAAGAUCGAUUAUGUCGAAUAAAGUUCUGGGUAGAUUAUGAUAAUGACAUUUUCUACCCAUAUGUCUUGACCAAGUUACGUGCCAGCAGUCGCGGUAAUACGUAGUAGACUAGUGUUAUUCAUCUUUAAUAGGUUUAAAGGGUACCUAGACGGUAAAUCAAGCCCUAGGUACUGAUUUACUAGAGUUUUAUGUGAGGAGAAAGUACUGGUGGUGUAGAGAUGAAAUUUGUGAUACCAUGGAAACUGGUGGCGAAAGCAUCCUUUUAUGUAAAAACUGACGUUGAAGGACGAAGGCUUUGUGUCGCAAAAAGGAUUAGAUACCCUAGUAGUCCAAGCAGACAAUGAUGAAUGUCAUAGAUUAGAUUAUAUAUUUUGUUCUAUAAAUGAAAGUGUAAGCAUUCCACCUCAAGAGUAAUUUGGCAACAUUGGAACUGAAAUCAUUAGACCGUUUCUGAAACCAGUAGUGAAGUAUGUUGUUUAAUUUGAUGAUCCGCAAAAAACCUUACCACAAUUUGAAUAUUUACAAGCGUUGCACGGCUGUCUUCAGUUAAUGUCGUGAGAUUUUGGUUAGUUCCAUUAAAUUAACGUAAACCCUUACUUUAUUUUCAUAUAAAGUAGUUCACCAUUAGAAUGGAUAUGACAAAAAGGAUCAAGACAAGUCAUCAUGGCCUAAAUUGUGG